This 225-nucleotide ribosomal RNA is filed under the name uncultured Chryseobacterium sp. RNAcentral's name for it is "partial 16S ribosomal RNA". It matches the Rfam family "Bacterial small subunit ribosomal RNA", at positions 568 to 792 of the family's 1533-position model. Lineage: Bacteria; Pseudomonadati; Bacteroidota; Flavobacteriia; Flavobacteriales; Weeksellaceae. The record is from RNAcentral.
UGCGUAGGCGGUUUAUUAAGUCAGUGGUGAAAUCUCAUAGCUUAACUAUGAAACUGCCAUUGAUACUGCGGGUCUUGAGUAAGGUAGAAGUAGCUGGAAUAAGUAGUGUAGCGGUGAAAUGCAUAGAUAUUACUUAGAACACCAAUUGCGAAGGCAGGUUACUAUGUCUUAACUGACGCUGAUGGACGAAAGCGUGGGGAGCGAACAGGAUUCGAUACCCCGGUA